RNAcentral lists this transfer RNA (72 nucleotides) under Rickettsiales bacterium. Its description in RNAcentral is "tRNA-Arg". It matches the Rfam family "tRNA". Rfam says of the family: Transfer RNA (tRNA) molecules are approximately 80 nucleotides in length. Lineage: Bacteria; Pseudomonadati; Pseudomonadota; Alphaproteobacteria; Rickettsiales. The record is from RNAcentral.
GGCGUAAUAACUUAAUUGGCAGAGUAAUGGACUACGAAUUCAUUAAUGUAAGUUCGACUCUUACUUACGCCU